UACGUAGGGUGCAAGCGUUGUCCGGAAUUAUUGGGCGUAAAGAGCUCGUAGGCGGUCUGUCGCGUCUGCUGUGAAAAUCCAGGGCUCAACCCUGGACCUGCAGUGGGUACGGGCAGACUAGAGUGCGGUAGGGGAGAUCGGAAUUCCUGGUGUAGCGGUGAAAUGCGCAGAUAUCAGGAGGAACCCCGGUGGCGAAGGCGGCUUUCUGGACGACAACUGACGCUGAGACGCGAAAUCGUGGGGAGCAAACAGG
RNAcentral lists this ribosomal RNA (253 nucleotides) under uncultured bacterium. RNAcentral's name for it is "partial 16S ribosomal RNA". It matches the Rfam family "Bacterial small subunit ribosomal RNA", at positions 524 to 776 of the family's 1533-position model. The record is from RNAcentral.